GUGAAUCAUCGAAUCUUUGAACGCAAAUUGCACUCUCUUCUGUUAGUAUGCGUGUUUGAGUUUCAGCCUAAAAAAAAUCGACAUCGUUGCUGUUUCGCGGUGGCGGUCGUCGGAAAUUGGGUCAUCUUGAGUCUUUUGGUUUUAAGCGACUUAAAAUUUUCUUUUUGUUUCCAUGAACGUUUCUAAGAUUUAUUUCUGUACACGUUGAGGGGAUCGAUUGUUAUUAGACGUGACCAUCAUAUCUGAUCUCGCCCCUAGUCUUUCAUUAACUU
Molecule: unclassified non-coding RNA, 272 nt
Filed under: Glomus sp.
Lineage: Eukaryota; Fungi; Glomeromycota; Glomeromycetes; Glomerales; Glomeraceae
Description: partial internal transcribed spacer 2
Source: RNAcentral